RNAcentral lists this ribosomal RNA (374 nucleotides) under uncultured Anoxybacillus sp. Its description in RNAcentral is "bacterial SSU rRNA". It matches the Rfam family "Bacterial small subunit ribosomal RNA", at positions 1010 to 1382 of the family's 1533-position model. Lineage: Bacteria; Bacillati; Bacillota; Bacilli; Caryophanales; Anoxybacillaceae. The record is from RNAcentral.
GGUUCCCCCUUCGGGGGGACGAGGGUGACAGGUGGUGCAUGGUUGUCGUCAGCUCGUGUCGUGAGAUGUUGGGUUAAGUCCCGCAACGAGCGCAACCCUCGACCUUAGUUGCCAGCAUUCAGUUGGGCACUCUAAGGUGACUGCCGGCUAAAAGUCGGAGGAAGGUGGGGAUGACGUCAAAUCAUCAUGCCCCUUAUGACCUGGGCUACACACGUGCUACAAUGGGCGGUACAAAGGGUCGCGAACCCGCGAGGGGGAGCCAAUCCCAAAAAGCCGCUCUCAGUUCGGAUUGCAGGCUGCAACUCGCCUGCAUGAAGCCGGAAUCGCUAGUAAUCGCGGAUCAGCAUGCCGCGGUGAAUACGUUCCCGGGCCUU